GCGGGUGUGGCGGAACUGGUAGACGCGCCAGAUUUAGGUUCUGGUGGGCAUAGCCCGUGCAGGUUCGAUUCCUGUCACCCGCA
This 83-nucleotide transfer RNA is filed under the name Symbiodinium sp. CCMP2592. It matches the Rfam family "tRNA". Rfam says of the family: Transfer RNA (tRNA) molecules are approximately 80 nucleotides in length. Their secondary structure includes four short double-helical elements and three loops (D, anti-codon, and T loops). Further hydrogen bonds mediate the characteristic L-shaped molecular structure. tRNAs have two regions of fundamental functional importance: the anti-codon, which is responsible for specific mRNA codon recognition, and the 3' end, to which the tRNAs corresponding amino acid is attached (by aminoacyl-tRNA synthetases). tRNAs cope with the degeneracy of the genetic code in two manners: having more than one tRNA (with a specific anti-codon) for a particular amino acid; and 'wobble' base-pairing, i.e. permitting non-standard base-pairing at the 3rd anti-codon position. The record is from Rfam by way of RNAcentral. RNAcentral also lists the same sequence under 2 other names. Lineage: Eukaryota; Dinophyceae; Suessiales; Symbiodiniaceae.